GUGAGAAAUCUGAAUGUGGGAAAUAUUGAGUUUAGUUUUUGAAUUCAUCUCAGACAUCUUUCUCCCAGAUCAGUUUGGAUACUAACACAAGAAUUUCAAAAAUAAAAUAAAAGUAAUUGUAUAAGGCUCAGAGCCACAGUGAGAUGAUUGCAGUCCCUGACAAAGAUGAUGUGAGAAGAAAAUAGUCAAGAAAAUCAAAAAGGAAAUGGACACAAGAUAUCUGUGCAAUUAACAAAAAAUAAACAAAUGACAACGGAUAUGUUUUAUUUUGGUUUGUUUCAGCUAAAUGUUCUACAUCAUUUUCAUGAUACAUAUUCUGAUCACUUGAAUGCCUCUGAUCGCUCACUUUGAUAGCUGGGAAGCUGGCAAACAACAAUCACUACAAAUCAUCUCCUUCAAAAGGUGUUAAUAGAAUGUCAAAUAUAAUGUCAGUAUUAUCUUUUAAUUAUAUAGGUUUACUUAUGGUAGAAUGCUGCAUGUAAUCAUUUGUGUUUAGAAGUAUGUAGUUGAUAGUAUCCUGAAAGAAUGUCUCAUCCUAGGAAGCUUGUGUGGUUCCAGAGUGUUCUGGUUUUCACACCCACAUCCUAGGAGCAUGGGAGAGCUCCUGACGAUGGCUCUGAGCAGUCUGAGAGACUAAAUCCACAAAGCUGACUGUCCUGCAAAGAGUUCUUCACUUCACUGUCUGUAGGACUUUCCUCCAGCUGCUGUUUUUUAUUUCAUAGUUCAAAGAAAUGUGUUAAAAACACCAUUAAAUAAAUAACACACAGGUAAUGUUCACUGUGAACAGACUGCUAUACUUGCUGUAAAUUAGUGCAUGGUCAUAUAUUUGUAUCUAGCUGCUGUGUGUACGUGUUUCACGCAUUUUUGAUUUUAUUCUGCUUCAGUAUGUAAUCACUGUAUCAUUGCAGUGUUUUCACAAGUCUGCUAAACACCAAAUGUUUCACCUUCAUUGAUAGUUAAGCAUCUGAUAAAGACAGUUUUUUAGACCUGAAGUGUGUGAUUUCACUGAGACGUUGGCAGUCUACAAAGCAUGUGGUAUUUUCCAAAUGACACCAAAACAUCUGAAGGAUGACGGCAACAGACUCUCAUUUGGAAAUGAAAUGUUCUUAGUUUAUUAUUUUAUUCUUCUGUGAAAAUAACUAACCCGGGAUUUCCUGCAUUUGAUUUGUGAGGUCACAUGACCCUGAUCUUUCACCACCUUUGGCUACGUCCUAAUUCAAACAAGGAAAACUGUUGUUUUGACCCUACUAUAACGUCCUUACUGUGUUCUGUCUCAUGUAUACAAACUGAUUAAAUAACUUGAUGUUUG
This is a long non-coding RNA of Oreochromis aureus, 1309 nucleotides long. Lineage: Eukaryota; Metazoa; Chordata; Actinopteri; Cichliformes; Cichlidae. The record is from Ensembl.